CGCAGAGAUGCGGGGUCCGUGUGCGAAAGGGCCGUGCACAGGUGGUGCAUGGUUGUCGUCAGCUCGUGGGUUCGUGAGAUGUUGGGUUAAGUCCCGCAACGAGCGCAAACCCUCGUUCCAUGUUGCCAGCACGUGAUGGUGGGGACUCAUGGGAGACUCCGGGGUCAACUCGGAGGAAGGUGGGGAUGAUCAAUCAUACCCCUUAUGUCUAGGGCUCAAACAUGCUACAAUGGCCGGUACAAAGGGCUGCGACGCAAGGUGGAGCGAAUCCCAAAAAGCCGGUCUCAGUUCGGAUUGGGGUCUGCAACUCGACCCCAUGAAGUUGGAGUAGCUAGUAAUCGCAGAUCAGCAACGCUGCGGUGAAUACGUUCCCG
RNAcentral lists this ribosomal RNA (374 nucleotides) under uncultured Geodermatophilus sp. RNAcentral's name for it is "bacterial SSU rRNA". It matches the Rfam family "Bacterial small subunit ribosomal RNA", at positions 999 to 1376 of the family's 1533-position model. The record is from RNAcentral. Lineage: Bacteria; Bacillati; Actinomycetota; Actinomycetes; Geodermatophilales; Geodermatophilaceae.